CGGACGGGUGAGUAACACGUGGAUAACCUACCUAUAAGACUGGGAUAACUUCGGGAAACCGGAGCUAAUACCGGAUAAUAUAUUGAACCGCAUGGUUCAAUAGUGAAAGACGGUUUUGCUGUCACUUAUAGAUGGAUCCGCGCCGCAUUAGCUAGUUGGUAAGGUAACGGCUUACCAAGGCACGAUGCGUAGCCGACCUGAGAGGGUGAUCGGCCACACUGGAACUGAGACACGGUCCAG
Molecule: ribosomal RNA, 240 nt
Filed under: uncultured Staphylococcus sp.
Lineage: Bacteria; Bacillati; Bacillota; Bacilli; Caryophanales; Staphylococcaceae
Description: partial 16S ribosomal RNA
Rfam family: Bacterial small subunit ribosomal RNA
Source: RNAcentral